CGGAUGCUGACGACCGGCGAACGGGUGAGUAACACGUAUGUAGUUUGCCCAUAACUUGGGAAUAGCCCAAAGAAAUUCGGAUUAAUACCCAAUAAUACAGGUGUACCGCAUGGUGUCCCUUGUUAAAGAUUAAUCGGUUAUGGAUAGGCAUGCGUUCUAUUAGGUAGUUGGUGAGGCAACGGCUCACCAAGCCAACGAUAGAUAGGGGAACUGAGAGGUUGUCCCCCCCACACUGGUACUGAGACACGGACCAGACUCCUACGGGAGGCAGCAGUGGAGGAAUAUUGGGUCAAUGGACGGAAGUCUGAACCAGCCAUCAAACAGGAUUAGAUACCCUGGUAGUCCACACAGUAAACGAUGAAUACUAACUGUUUGCGAUAUACAGCAAGUGGUCAAGCGAAAGCGUUAAGUAUUCCACCUGGGGAGUACGCCGGCAACGGUGAAACUCAAAGGAAUUGACGGGGGCCCGCACAAGCGGAGGAACAUGUGGUUUAAUUCGAUAAUACGCGAGGAACCUUACCCGGGCUCGAACGAUAUUUGAAUACAUCCGAAAAGAUGUAGCUAGCAAUAGCAAGUACCGAGGUGCUGCAUGGUUGUCGUCAGCUCGUGCCGUGAGGUGUCGACUUAAGUGUCAUAACGAGCGCAACCCUUACCAAUAGUUGCCAUCAGGUAAUGCUGGGGACUCUGUUGGGACUGCCACCGUAAGGUGUGAGGAAGGAGAGGAUGACGUCAAAUCAGCACGGCCCUUAUGUCCGGGGCGACACACGUGUUACAAUGGGGGAAACAAAGGGUCGCUACCUGGCAACAGGAUGCUAAUCUCAAAAAUCUCUCUCAGUUCGGAUUGGAGUCUGCAACUCGACUCCAUGAAGCUGGA
RNAcentral lists this ribosomal RNA (874 nucleotides) under uncultured bacterium. Its description in RNAcentral is "bacterial SSU rRNA". It matches the Rfam family "Bacterial small subunit ribosomal RNA", at positions 81 to 1330 of the family's 1533-position model. The record is from RNAcentral.